AGCAACCACUAGAAUGGAAGCUGCAUGUGGGCAUGGCUUAGUUUUGUCCACUGCUGGAUCUCAGCAUCCAAAACAGUCUACCACCUGAUGUCUCAGUAUACUGGCUCGCGGCACAUCGGGCAAAUGAACCUAUCAGAUAACAACGGCAGAUCAGAUGCCUGAGCAUUCAGAAGCAACAGCUGUGGAGCCCCCGUGGGUUCAGAAGGCCUGGUUCCCGUCUCCAGAAGCCUGGCUCUCCUCCCUCCUGGGCCCACUACUUUGGCUUCUUGUUCCUACGUACAAGGAGUUGCGAAGAAGGCAACUCUUCCCCUCCCUGAAGCCAAAGGAAUGAAACAGACUAGGGCGGGAGAGGUGGCCAUCCGUCAUUAGUUGCGGCCAUCAGUAACAGCAACAGGACACGGAACCUAAGGCUGUAUCCAUCCUGGGCCCCCAGGGAAACAUCAGCGGGAGCGGUACUAAGGAAGUGCUCAUCUCUUAGAGACAAAGGCCCAUGGAGGGGAACAGUAACCAUCCCCUCCCAAUUCAGAAAAUGUUAACAUAAGCACUUCAUUUCUCAUGCAGAUAACCACAUAAGUCUAUUAAUAAGAAAGAAAGAGAAAGAAAAAAAAGAAAAAGGAAUCCAUGCCAGCAGGGUAUAGGAAUUGGUCUAUAGGAGAAAGGGUCACCCACUGAAAGGUGGGCUGAAUAGAAUUCCUUGCCUGGGCUUUGAGGUCCUGGCAUGGAGAAGGCUGUAGAAAUGCUGGCAUCAGUGGAACCCUCAAUAAACAGAAUUCUUGUUAAAGAA
RNAcentral lists this long non-coding RNA (784 nucleotides) under Homo sapiens (human). Its description in RNAcentral is "long non coding transcriptional activator of miR34a". The record is from RNAcentral. Lineage: Eukaryota; Metazoa; Chordata; Mammalia; Primates; Hominidae.